Grus americana (Whooping crane) is the source of this 968-nucleotide non-coding RNA. The record is from the annotation of a RefSeq genome assembly. Lineage: Eukaryota; Metazoa; Chordata; Aves; Gruiformes; Gruidae.
CGGCGUGGCGGUGAGGAGCGGUCCCGAGCGCGGCUCCGCUCGUCUCCUCUGCGGCUCCCGCCGGGCCCUUGGUCCCUGGCCGGCCCCGGCGCGGCAGGGCAUGGUGGCGCCCGGGCUGGGGCCGUGGCUCCUGGCCUUGUCCUUGGCCGCGGGGCCGGCAGGGCUGUGGGCGCAGCUGAGGCUGGUGGAGACCGGCGGAGGGCUGCGAGCGCCCGGGGACUCCGUGCACCUCUCUUGCCGCGGAUCCGGCUUCACCUUCGAGGAUUAUGUCGUUCUGUGGUACCGUCAGGCACCGGGUAGCAGUCUGGAGUGGGUCUCCGUCAUCUGGGCAUCGGGUGGUACAAAUUAUGGCCCAGCAGUGGAGGGCCGAGCCACAGUCUCCCGGGACAAUUCCCGUUCCGAGUCAUCUCUGUCCCUGCGGCACCUGCACCCUCAGGACUCUGCCCGCUACUUCUGCGCUGUUCGCACGGAGACAGGAAAUCCAGCAGAGCUUUAACACAAACCUCGCACCAGGGCCCUGGCUCUGGGCCUGGGAGCUGGCAGGAAGGUGAGUCCCCCAGAUGUUCUCAGAGAUUCAUGUAUUUACAGCAUAGAGUUUUCAAAUGGUUGAUUCUGACCGGGAUGUCCUACCUUUUUAUGUCCCCGGAUGAGCUCUGACCAUUCUGUUUCCCUUCUUCCCGUGUGUCAUGCCAACCCUUUCUUCUCUCACACUCCACAAUUCCUUCCCCUUUGGAAAAAAGUUUUGCUGUUUCCAUCGAAUCCCGGUAGUACAAGUACCCAGAGACGGCCCAACUGGUGAAGGCUGUGAAUAGCCCUUCUCUGCUUUUGGGCACGGCUCAGAUUUACUCAGUCCAGCCCAGGAGUUUUCCUGCCUGAGGAGGGAGCAGAAGAGAUGGGGAAAUCCCGAGGGUCAUUUGGGAUCUCCCUGGGAGAAAGGGGAAGUCUGUUCUACUCUGCCAGAUCUGAGA